CUCCUUCCUCAAUGAAAGUGAUGCAAGAACUCGCAGUCUGUUGCUACGUCGCUCAUUUUGAAAUCGUCAACGGCCGCGCGUAGUCUCUGUCGUUUAGUCUUCUAUAUAGUUCACACGAGAUAGCACGUUUAACAAAUAAUGAAAGUUGCCGAGACGCUGUCCAUUUUCGCCUGCAUCUUCCUGGUCACGUGGUCUGCGGGAGACGGCGCUCCUCAGUGGCGCCCGCAGGGACGCUUCGGAAAGCGCUUCAGCGGCCCGAGCAACAUAAUAUUCGCCUUACAGUCCGCCACUUUGUCUUCGGUACCCAACAGCAAUGACCAACUGCAAGCACUUUUCAUGGACGAGUCCGAUCAGGACACGGAGGACACGCCUACCCUCGAAGAUUUCAUAAACGUCAACGGAAAGCCCGACAUAUCAUCAAUGACGUCAUCGCGGUGGCCAUUUGCAAGCGGACGAGUAUGCAUAGAAACGGUUAUAACCAGAGUAUUCCGGUGUCAACGGUAAUUUGCUGGCAUCUUCUAGAACUAUUUUUGUUUCCUUGUUUGGAAUCAGUCAGUUAUUGUGCCAUUUAAAACAAACGGGCUAAAAUAUUCAUAAUGCACGUUAAAUGUAUUAUAUAAGGUUAAAGUUUUAAAACUGUUAAGCUGACAGCAACAAUUCAUCGUUAGAUUGCGCGGUUAAAGUUGAGCGUGAACGGAAUAUAAAUUACCAAUAUGUUUCACAAGGUACUGGACAGUGUUCCUGCAUUUAAUAUCACAAACAACUGUGUUUCUCUGUAU
Dreissena polymorpha is the source of this 779-nucleotide long non-coding RNA. RefSeq lists it as uncharacterized. The record is from RefSeq and is a predicted model, not a curated record. The transcript has 3 exons. Lineage: Eukaryota; Metazoa; Mollusca; Bivalvia; Myida; Dreissenidae.